CGUGAGGGAAAGGUGAAAAGAACCCCGGGAGGGGAGUGAAAUAGAACCUGAAACCGUGUGCCUACAACCGCUCAGAGCCCCUUAUGAGGGUGAUGAGGUGCUUUUUGUAGAACGAGCCAACGAGUUACGGUAUGUAGCAAGGUUAAGUACUUAAGGUACGGAGCCGAAGGGAAACCGAGUCUGAAUAGGGCGACUAGUUGCAUGCCGUAGACCCGAAACCGGGUGACCUAUCCAUGGCCAGGUUGAAGCGAGGGUAAAACCUCGUGGAGGACCGAACCACGUUGCUGUUGAAAAAGCAUGGGAUGAGCUGUGGAUAGCGGAGAAAUUCCAAUCGAACCCGGAGAUAGCUGGUUCUCUCCGAAAUAGCUUUAGGGCUAGCGUCGAGUAUGAGUAGUGGAGGUAGAGCACUGAAUGGGCUAGGGGGCAUAGCGCUUACCGAACCUUAUCAAACUCCGAAUGCCACAUACUUUGAGCUCGGCAGUCAGACUACGAAUGAUAAGAUCCGUGGUCAAAAGGGAAACAGCCCAGAUCGUCAGCUAAGGUCCCAAAGUGUAAGUUAAGUGGGAAAGGAUGUGAGAUUUCUAAGACAACUAGGAUGUUGGCUUAGAAGCAGCCAUUCAUUAAAAGAGUGCGUAAUAGCUCACUAGUCGAGAGAUCUUGCGCCGAAAAUGUAACGGGGCUAAACUUACCACCGAAGCUACGGGCUUGAACUUAGUUCAAGCGGUAGGAGAGCGUCGUAACCGGGCUGAAGUCGUACCGUAAGGAGCGGUGGACUGGUUACGAGUGAGAAUGUUGGCAUCAGUAGCGAGAUGUGGGUGAGAAUCCCACAGGCCGAAAACCUAAGGUUUCCUCAGGAAGGUUCGUCCGCUGAGGGUUAGUCGGGACCUAAGCCGAGGCCGAAAGGCGUAGGUGAUGGACAACUGGUUGAUAUUCCAGUACCACUACCAUCGUUAUUAUCGAUGGCGUGACGCAGGAGGAUAGUGUGUGCUAGCUAUUGGAUGCUAGUCUAAGCGUUUAGGCAGUGAGAGUAGGCAAAUCCGCUCUCAUAAUGCUGAGGCGUGAUGGGGAAGGUUCUACGGAACCGAAGUACAUGAUUCCACGCUGCCAAGAAAAGCGUCUAGAGAGAGAAGUAGUGCCCGUACCGCAAACCGACACAGGUAGGUGAGGAGAGAAUCCUAAGGCCGGCGGAAGAAUUACAGUUAAGGAACUCGGCAAAUUGACCCCGUAAGUUCGCGAGAAGGGGUGCCUACGAGAGUAGGCCGCAGAGAAUAGGCCCAAGCAACUGUUUAGCAAAAACACAGGUCUCUGCUAAAGCGUAAGCUGAUGUAUAGGGGCUGACGCCUGCCCGGUGCUGGAAGGUUAAGGGGAACACUUAGCGCAAGCGAAGGUGUGAACUUAAGCCCCAGUAAACGGCGGCCGUAACUAUAACGGUCCUAAGGUAGCGAAAUUCCUUGUCAGGUAAGUUCUGACCCGCACGAAUGGCGUAAUGACUUGGGCACUGUCUCAACUGUAAAUCCGGCGAAGUUGUAGUGCGAGUGAAGAUGCUCGCUACCCGCGAUUGGACGGAAAGACCCCGUAGAGCUUUACUGUAGCUUAGCAUUGAGUUUUGGUAUUGUCUGUACAGGAUAGGUGGGAGACUAGGAAACCAGGGCGUCAGCCUUGGUGGAGUCAACCUUGGGAUACCACCCUGACAGUACUGAAAUUCUAACUGGCGGCCAUGAAUCUGGUCACAGGACAUUGUUAGGUGGGCAGUUUGACUGGGGCGGUCGCCUCCUAAAAAGUAACGGAGGCGCCCAAAGGUUCCCUCAGAACGGUCGGAAAUCGUUCGAAGAGUGCAAAGGCAGAAGGGAGCCUGACUGCGACACCCACAAGUGGAGCAGGGACGAAAGUCGGGCUUAGUGAUCCGGUGGUACCUCGUGGGAGGGCCAUCGCUCAACGGAUAAAAGCUACCUCGGGGAUAACAGGCUGAUCUCCCCCAAGAGUCCACAUCGACGGGGAGGUUUGGCACCUCGAUGUCGGCUCGUCGCAUCCUGGGGCUGAAGUAGGUCCCAAGGGUUGGGCUGUUCGCCCAUUAAAGCGGCACGCGAGCUGGGUUCAGAACGUCGUGAGACAGUUCGGUCCCUAUCCGUCGCGGGCGUAGGAAAUUUGAGAGGAGCUGUCCUUAGUACGAGAGGACCGGGAUGGACUGACCUCUGGUGUACCAGUUGUUCCGCCAGGAGCACAGCUGGGUAGCUAAGUCGGGAAUGGAUAAACGCUGAAAGCAUCUAAGCGUGAAGCCAACCUCAAGAUGAGAUUUCCCAUAGCGUAAGCUAGUAAGAUCCCUUGA
RNAcentral lists this ribosomal RNA (2326 nucleotides) under metagenome. Its description in RNAcentral is "bacterial LSU rRNA". It matches the Rfam family "Bacterial large subunit ribosomal RNA", at positions 502 to 2841 of the family's 2925-position model. The record is from RNAcentral.